RNAcentral lists this long non-coding RNA (1032 nucleotides) under Parus major (Great Tit). RNAcentral describes it as "lncRNA (ENSPMJG00000002433.1)". Lineage: Eukaryota; Metazoa; Chordata; Aves; Passeriformes; Paridae. The record is from RNAcentral.
CGUCGGUGAUGUCAUCGGUGACGUCAUCGGCGAUGUCGUCGUCGGGGCCCGGGGGCCGUUCCAAGGGCAGGAAGGGCGUGAUGUCAUCAUCGGCGGUGACGUCAUCGGCGAGGUCGUCCCAGGCGCCGUCGAGGUCCCCGGUGACGUCACCCAGCAGGGAGGAGGUGACGUCAUCGGCGGUGAUGACGUCAUCAGUGGGGAGGGAGCUCGGGCCGGGGAUGGUGACGUCAUCGUCCUCGGUGACGUCAUCGAGGAGGUCGUUUUGAUGAGUGACGUCAUCGGGGAAGUCAUCCUGGAGGAUGACGUCAUCGCCAAGAUGCCCCCAGGCUAUGACGUCAUCGGUGACGUCAUCCCCGGGCAGGGACGGGACGCGGCGGACGGCGAUGACGUCAUCGAUGUGGGCCCCCACGCUGACGGCGUCAUCGGUGACGUCACCUCCCGCCGUGACAUCAUCGCCCCCGGGGAGCGGGGGCGUGGCAUCGCCCCAGGUGAUGACGUCACCAGGGAAGCCACGCUCGAUGACGUCAUUGGUGAGGGUGUGCAGUGUGAUGACAUCAUCGGUGAUGACGUCAUCGGUGAUGACGUCAUCGGUGACAUCGUCCUGAUCUUGCGGGAAGACGCUCUCUGCGGUGACAUCAUCGGUGACGUCAUGGGCGAUGAUGUCAUCAAUGAAGCCACGCCCAGGGACGGUGACAUCAGCGGUGACGUCACUCAUGGGGACGGUGAUGUCAUCGGCGACGCCACUCCCAACGUGGGAGGUGAUGACGUCACUGUCAGCAAUGACGUCACCAUCGAGAGCUUCCCGCGGGGCAGAGGAAGUGACGUCAUCGCCGUCGGUGACACCGGCGGUGACAUCAUCCCCCGGCACAGCGGAAGUGACGUCACCCUCGGCUGUGACGUCACCGGCGGGCGGAGGGGAGGGGCUGCCCCGCCCCUCAAUGACGUCAUCGCCCUCCCCACCCACGGGGACCUCUGCAGCGAUGACGUCAUAGGCCGUGACGUCAUCAUCGGAGACUUCCUCUUCCUCUGGGG